CAGUCGCCACGGGAAUACAGAGGGUGCGAGCGUUAAUCGGAUUUACUAGGCGUAAAGCGUGCGUAGGCGGCUAAUUGAGUCGGAUGUGAAAUCCCCGAGCUUAACUUGGGAAUUGCAUUCGAUACUGGUUAGCUAGAGUGUGGGAGAGGAUGGUAGAAUUCCAGGUGUAGCGGUGAAAUGCGUAGAGAUCUGGAGGAAUACCGAUGGCGAAGGCAGCCAUCUGGCCUAACACUGACGCUGAGGUACGAAAGCAUGGGGAGCAAACAGGAUUAGAUACCCCUGUAGUCCCUGUCUCUUAUAC
Molecule: ribosomal RNA, 301 nt
Filed under: uncultured bacterium
Lineage: Bacteria
Description: partial 16S ribosomal RNA
Rfam family: Bacterial small subunit ribosomal RNA
Source: RNAcentral